CAGCCGCCGCGGGAAAACGAAGGGUGCAAGCGUUACUCGGAAUUACUGGGCGUAAAGCGUGCGUAGGUGGUUGUUUAAGUCUGCUGUGAAAGCCCUGGGCUCAACCUGGGAAUUGCAGUGGAUACUGGGCAACUAGAGUAAGGUAGAGGAUAGUGGAAUUUCCGGUGUAGCAGUGAAAUGCGUAGAGAUCGGAAGGAACAUCUGUGGCGAAGGCGACUAUCUGGGCCAUUACUGACACUGAGGCACGAAAGCGUGGGGAGCAAACAGGAUUAGAUACCCCAGUAGUCCCUGUCUCUUAUAC
Molecule: ribosomal RNA, 301 nt
Filed under: uncultured bacterium
Lineage: Bacteria
Description: partial 16S ribosomal RNA
Rfam family: Bacterial small subunit ribosomal RNA
Source: RNAcentral